RNAcentral lists this ribosomal RNA (706 nucleotides) under uncultured bacterium. RNAcentral describes it as "bacterial SSU rRNA". It matches the Rfam family "Bacterial small subunit ribosomal RNA", at positions 127 to 851 of the family's 1533-position model. The record is from RNAcentral.
UGCCUCUGAGAGUGGGAUAGCUUCUGGAAACGGAUGGUAAUACCGCAUAACAUCAUGGAUUCGCAUGUUUCUAUGAUCAAAGAUUUAUCGCUUAGAGAUGGACUCGCGUCUGAUUAGCUAGUUGGUAAGGUAACGGCUUACCAAGGCGACGAUCAGUAGCCGGACUGAGAGGUUGAUCGGCCACAUUGGGACUGAGACACGGCCCAGACUCCUACGGGAGGCAGCAGUGGGGAAUAUUGCACAAUGGGGGAAACCCUGAUGCAGCGAUGCCGCGUGGAGGAAGAAGGUUUUCGGAUUGUAAACUCCUGUUGAAGAGGACGAUAAUGACGGUACUCUUUUAGAAAGCUCCGGCUAACUACGUGCCAGCAGCCGCGGUAAUACGUAGGGAGCGAGCGUUGUCCGGAAUUACUGGGUGUAAAGGGAGCGUAGGCGGGAUGGCAAGUCAGAUGUGAAAACUAUGGGCUCAACCCAUAGACUGCAUUUGAAACUGUUGUUCUUGAGUGAGGUAGAGGUAAGCGGAAUUCCUGGUGUAGCGGUGAAAUGCGUAGAGAUCAGGAGGAACAUCGGUGGCGAAGGCGGCUUACUGGGCCUUUACUGACGCUGAGGCUCGAAAGCGUGGGGAGCAAACAGGGUUAGAUACCCUGGUAGUCCACGCCGUAAACGAUGAUUACUAGGUGUGGGGGGACUGACCCCUUCCGUGCCGCAG